GACGAACGCUGGCGGCGUGCUUAACACAUGCAAGUCGAACGGAAAGGCCCUGCUUUUGUGGGGUGCUCGAGUGGCGAACGGGUGAGUAACACGUGAGUAACCUGCCCUUGACUUUGGGAUAACUUCAGGAAACUGGGGCUAAUACCGUAUAGGAGCUCCUGCUGCAUUGUGGGGGUUGGAAAUUUUCGGCGGUUGGGGAUGGACUCGCGGCUUAUCAGCUUGUUGGUUGGGUAGUGGCUUACCAAGGCUUUGAAGGGUAGCCGGCCUGAGAGGGUGAACGGGCACAUGGGGACUGAGAGAGGGCCCAGACGCGUACGGGAGGCAGCAGUGGGGAAUAUUGCACAGUGGGCGGGAGCCUGAGGCAGCAACGCCGCGGGCGGGAUGACGGCCUUCGGGUUGUAAACCGCUUUCGCCUGUGACGAAGCGUGAGUGACGGUAAUGGGUAAAGAAGCACCGGCUAACUACGUG
This 468-nucleotide ribosomal RNA is filed under the name uncultured bacterium. RNAcentral's name for it is "partial 16S ribosomal RNA". It matches the Rfam family "Bacterial small subunit ribosomal RNA", at positions 28 to 507 of the family's 1533-position model. The record is from RNAcentral.